Molecule: unclassified non-coding RNA, 196 nt
Filed under: plant metagenome
Description: partial contains small subunit ribosomal RNA and internal transcribed spacer 1
Rfam family: Eukaryotic small subunit ribosomal RNA (bases 1-46)
Source: RNAcentral
AAGUCAUAACAAGGUUUCUGUAGGUGAACCUGCAGAAGGAUCAUUAUUGGAUUGUAAAAUGGGAGGUUGCUUUCGAUGCGCUCCUCUACAUUCUUUAUUCCUGACACCUGUGAAUCGUUGCUGAGUCCGCUCAGUGGCACUUUUUACAUCACACAUAAAAGUAUAAGAACGUAAAUAUAAUAAAUAAAAUAACAAA